This 429-nucleotide ribosomal RNA is filed under the name Bacteroidota bacterium. RNAcentral describes it as "Bacteroidetes bacterium partial 16S ribosomal RNA". It matches the Rfam family "Bacterial small subunit ribosomal RNA", at positions 355 to 776 of the family's 1533-position model. Lineage: Bacteria; Pseudomonadati; Bacteroidota. The record is from RNAcentral.
UAGGGAAUCUUCCGCAAUGGACGCAAGUCUGACGGAGCAACGCCGCGUGAGUGAAGAAGGAUUUCGGUUCGUAAAACUCUGUUGUUAGAGAAGAACAGCGCAUAGAGUAACUGUUAUGCGUGUGACGGUAUCUAACCAGAAAGCCACGGCUAACUACGUGCCAGCAGCCGCGGUAAUACGUAGGUGGCAAGCGUUGUCCGGAUUUAUUGGGCGUAAAGCGAGCGCAGGCGGUCAAUUAAGUCUGAUGUGAAAGCCCCCGGCUCAACCGGGGAGGGUCAUUGGAAACUGGUUGACUUGAGUGCAGAAGAGGAGAGUGGAAUUCCAUGUGUAGCGGUGAACUGCGUAGAUAUAUGGAGGAACACCAGUGGCGGAGGCGACUCUCUGGUCGGUAACUGACGCUGAGGUUCGAAAGCGUGGGUAGCAAACGGG